This 2199-nucleotide long non-coding RNA is filed under the name Limulus polyphemus (Atlantic horseshoe crab). RNAcentral describes it as "uncharacterized LOC111086010". The record is from RNAcentral. Lineage: Eukaryota; Metazoa; Arthropoda; Merostomata; Xiphosura; Limulidae.
UUAAGAAUUAUUUGUAAUAUUAGGUAAUAGAAACUGCAUCUUGUAUAAAAAUAGGUUCUUAAUCUUAGGGAAUUGGAGUUAUACUCACACACAACGUAACAAGGAAGUGAAUGAUCAGGUGAUAGAAUUGAAACGGCAGUUAUCUCAUCGAGACUAUGUGAACAUGCUGGCUCAAAGAGAUGAUUCUCAUUAUACAGUGUACAAGCUACGGCGUUGUUUUCUCUGGCAAAACAUGUACUUUCAGAUGGAUAUCUACAAACGACCUUGUCAUCCAAGGUGUGAAGGUUUAAUUCUGUUAGAAACCUACACCACAUUAACAGGUGAAGAGCUUAAUAAAAGGCUUCCACCAUUUCUAGACAUCAAACGAGAAGUAACUCAAGAAGCAACUUUUUCAAUGUUCUACUUGUCUCUCAAAGAAGACUCCAAACCCAACAAGUUUAUCAUUACUUCAAAUGGUUCUUAUGGCAAUGAUAAACUCAAGGCCCACUGACAGAAGUCUAGAAUUUGGCAUAACUUUAAGUUGACUUUUAUCUGAAAUAUUUUAAUUAGAAGUUGUUGUUUUUUGUGGUUUUGAAAUGUUUAGAUUUUGAGUGUAAAGAUAUUCAGUUAAUGUUUCCCUCUGUUUAUCAUUAUUUCAUAUUUCUUGAAAGAAAUAGUUAUAUUUUUUGUGCUUUACUACUCAGAAAUCAUUUAAAAAAUGGUAUGGGUGAAUUGGGUAUGAGAAAAAUAAAUUUAAAGCUUGAAAUAAGGUAUAACAACUUUUCACAAAGAUAUACAAUAUUUAUGUAAAUUCUGUACACAGUUCAUACUAUGUAUGCUUUGAGGGCAUUAAAUGGAACAUAUUUAAAUACCUUAAGAAUUUUAUCCUUCCUUAGUUGUGAUCUGAUGGAUGUUCCUAAAGUUAAUCAUAGAACUUAGUCUUUCCUAGUCUUUUUUUAUGUUGUUUUUUCCUGAUUUAGUAUAGUGAUAUAACUACAUAUAGAUUACUUGGAUUAGAACAGGAAUUGUUUUUUAUAAAGGCUAUGUAUGUGAUUCAAAACAUAGUGAUUUGGAACAUGAAGAUAUUCCCAGAAACGAUUGUUGUUUUAUUUUACCAAAGUGUGUGAUACAGACAUGUACUUAUAUAAAAAUAGGUUAGAGAACUCUUUAUUGUUCAACUAUUUGUGAGAUAUAUUGUCCCAGUUACUUUCAUCACGACAGACUAAAACCAAUUAAAUUAUUAUUGAUUUAUUACAUCAGUAGCAUAGGUUUGCUUGUAAAUUCUCAGUUAGUUGAUAAGCAUUUAUUGACUUACCUAAUCAAGUUCAGUAUAACACAGUCAUAUCUAUUAAGUCAAUGACUUCCCUACAGCAAUAAAUCCAAUAUGACUGACAACAGUAAUUUAAUUAAUUCUAUUUCUACUAAGCAACCUUUCUCAGUGUUUCUAAUAUUACACUGUAAUUUAUAUCCUAUUGGUGGUGAUAUUAUAUGGAAGUUUGGUACCUUAUUUUAUAUCCUACCCAUGGUGGUAUUAUAUGGAAGUUUAGUACCUUAUUUUAUAUCCUACCGAUGGUGGUAUUAUAUGGAAGUUUGGUACCUUAUUUUAUAUCCUGUUGGUGGUGAUAUUAUAUGGAAGUUUAGUACCUUAUUUUAUAUCCUGUUGGUGGUGGUAUUAUAUGGAAGUUUAGUAUCUUAUUUUAUAUCCUACCGAUGGUGGUAUUAUAUGGAAGUUUGCUACCAUAGUUUAUUGAAUGUAUUACCCCAGAUGUUGUUUAUAGAACCUAUAAACAAUAAGUAAAAUUCUGAUGUGAUUAAACCUUUACCUUGUCAAAAGGUAUUACACAGCUGAUAGAUUACACACUAAUAGAGAGCAGAACUUACCACUAAAACAUCUCUUUUUAUUUUCGUCGCAAAGCAAAAGCAACAUUUAAACUUCUUCUUCUUAAGUUGGAUGCUGGACCAAUACUGUCAUUUAUGCUGUUGUACUUAAUUAGAGAUUAAUAAUUAUAAUUCUAUAAGAAAUUUCAUAUAUAUAACAUCAUGAUGGUUCUUUGUUAGGACAAAUAUUCGUGUAAAACAAAUGUAAUUUAUUCAUGUAUAAACUUAGUUUAGUUGUAAAGAAAAUUGGAUUUUUAGGGUGCUUGGUUUGAUAUUUUUCAGUUCUCUUGAUGGUUUAUGUUAAGAUUUUUUUCUUUAUCAGUUGAAAGUUUACCUUUGAAU